CCUACGGGAGGCAGCAGUGGGGAAUAUUGGACAAUGGGGGCAACCCUGAUCCAGCCAUGCCGCGUGUGUGAAGAAGGCCCUCGGGUUGUAAAGCACUUUCAGUGAGGAAGAACGCCUGGUGGUUAAUACCCAUCAGGAAAGACAUCACUCACAGAAGAAGCACCGGCUAACUCCGUGCCAGCAGCCGCGGUAAUACGGAGGGUGCGAGCGUUAAUCGGAAUUACUGGGCGUAAAGCGCGCGUAGGUGGCUUGAUAAGCCGGUUGUGAAAGCCCCGGGCUCAACCUGGGAACGGCAUCCGGAACUGUCAAGCUAGAGUGCAGGAGAGGAAGGGAGAAGUCCCGGUGUAGCGGUGAAAUGCGUAGAGAUCGGGAGGAAUACCAGUGGCGAAGGCGGCCUUCUGGACUGACACUGACACUGAGGUGCGAAAGCGUGGGUAGCAAACCGGAUUAGAUACCCUGGUAGUC
This 465-nucleotide ribosomal RNA is filed under the name Vreelandella stevensii. RNAcentral describes it as "partial 16S ribosomal RNA". It matches the Rfam family "Bacterial small subunit ribosomal RNA", at positions 338 to 795 of the family's 1533-position model. Lineage: Bacteria; Pseudomonadati; Pseudomonadota; Gammaproteobacteria; Oceanospirillales; Halomonadaceae. The record is from RNAcentral.